This 778-nucleotide long non-coding RNA is filed under the name Callithrix jacchus (white-tufted-ear marmoset). RNAcentral describes it as "lncRNA (ENSCJAG00000073869.1)". The record is from RNAcentral. Lineage: Eukaryota; Metazoa; Chordata; Mammalia; Primates; Cebidae.
GACAGAGCAACCAUGGCUGACUCCUCAUAUAAGCAGCUGGAAGCUGAACUGAAUGACAGCAGUCACUUUCUUUAGAGGAAGAGGCAGAUAGCACAUUUGUUGAAAUACUUAGGUAUCCAGUAGAAUUCCAGGGGAGUUUAGACAGUGAAGUAAUGCUGAGAGAGACAGAGCUAUUCUCCAUUGGCCACUCACCAAAUUGACCAGUCCUUCUGCCAGGCCUGGUUAGGUCAUUAUAUUUCCUGUGCAGGAGCACUGGGUCACCACGUCCCUGCUGGCCUUGGUGGGGUCAGCAGCGGGGUCACGGGUGGGGGCUGUCCCAGGGUAGGUGAGAACCUAGGGAGGGUAGCGGGCAGGCUGGGCUGAGCUUUCUUCCUUCCAGCCCUCUUCCAUCAUACAGGACACUGUGGUGCUUUGCUGUGCCACUCAGGCUUUUUCAUUCAGAGUCAGAGCUCGGGAGCCAUUUGUCGCUCUGCUUCCAGAGGCAACUAUUUUCAGAAAUCAACCACUGCCUGCCCCGGGGCCAGUGUCAGGGGUCAGCAGAAGCUUGUUCUGGCCAACAGCCCUCUCCUCCAUCACAGUCAUCCCCACAUUCAGCGGGGAGGUGCUAGAAUUAUCUGUUCCUGUUUCCUUCAGAGUCUGCACAGAAUGCUUUGGAUUCCCGAGAUCUGGCUUCCUCUGUGUGUUGUCACUGACUCCAGCCCAGCUGCUCACAGCACGGCCUGGGAGACGUUUCCCUUUGCAUUCAACGACACAGGUCCCCGUUGAGCUGUGGACUUGA